AAACCAACUGGGAUUACCUUAGUAACGGCGAGUGAAGCGGUAAAAGCUCAAAUUUGAAAUCUGGUACUUUCAGUGCCCGAGUUGUAAUUUGUAGAAUUUGUCUUUGAUUAGGUCCUUGUCUAUGUUCCUUGGAACAGGACGUCAUAGAGGGUGAGAAUCCCGUUUGGCGAGGAUACCUUUUCUCUGUAAGACUUUUUCGAAGAGUCGAGUUGUUUGGGAAUGCAGCUCAAAGUGGGUGGUAAAUUCCAUCUAAAGCUAAAUAUUGGCGAGAGACCGAUAGCGAACAAGUACAGUGAUGGAAAGAUGAAAAGAACUUUGAAAAGAGAGUGAAAAAGUACGUGAAAUUGUUGAAAGGGAAGGGCAUUUGAUCAGACAUGGUGUUUUUUGCAUGCACUCGCCUCUCGUGGGCUUGGGCCUCUCAAAAAUUUCACUGGGCCAACAUCAAUUCUGGCAGCAGGAUAAAUCAUUAAGAAUGUAGCUACUUCGGUAGUGUUAUAGCUUUUUGGAAUACUGUUAGCCGGGAUUGAGGACUGCGCUUCGGCAAGGAUGUUGGCAUAAUGGUUAAAUGCCGC
This 572-nucleotide ribosomal RNA is filed under the name Hanseniaspora uvarum. RNAcentral's name for it is "eukaryotic LSU rRNA". It matches the Rfam family "Eukaryotic large subunit ribosomal RNA", at positions 62 to 648 of the family's 3401-position model. Lineage: Eukaryota; Fungi; Ascomycota; Saccharomycetes; Saccharomycodales; Saccharomycodaceae. The record is from RNAcentral. RNAcentral also lists the same sequence under 2 other names.